Molecule: RNA transcript, 1808 nt
Organism: Dreissena polymorpha
Lineage: Eukaryota; Metazoa; Mollusca; Bivalvia; Myida; Dreissenidae
Gene name: dehydrogenase/reductase SDR family member 12-like
Exons: 10
Source: RefSeq, a predicted model, not a curated record
UCAUGUCAUUUUUUCGCAAUACCAUCUGGUUUGUGAAGGGCAUGAAGGAGUACACAAAGGGUGGCUAUGCUUCAGCUUCAAAGAACUUCAGGGCAGGGGAUCUGGCGGUGGAUGUUACAGGGCGGAGUUUCAUGAUAACAGGGGCCAACAGUGGACUGGGCAAGGCAACAGCGAUGGCUUUGGCACAAAGAGGGGGCACAGUACACAUCGUGUGUAGAAACAAGGAAAGGGGGGAGGAGGCUAGAACGGAGAUCACAGAGACUACUGGCAAUCAGAAUGUGUUCUUACAUGAAUUGGACACUUCAAAACCAGCAGAUAUUUAUGCGUUCGUUAAAACUUUUGAAGCCUCGGGCAACGCACUGCAUGUGUUGAUCAACAAUGCAGGCUGCAUGAUCAACACACGCUCAGUAACCGAUGAUGGAUUGGAGAAGAACUUUGCUACUAACACUCUCGGUACCCAUGUUUUGACGACAGCACUAAUUCCAUUACUGUCAAAGGCCACAGACCCACGUGUGAUUAUAGUAUCAUCGGGUGGGAUGUUGACGAAGUCUUUAGACGUGGAAGACUUGCAGUUUGAACGCAUGCAGCCAUUUGAUGGCACGUCAGCUUAUGCGCAGAACAAACGUCAGCAGAUUGUGAUGACGGAGCAAUAUGCCAAGAAGUUCCCAGACAUUCAUUUCUCAUCCAUGCACCCGGGCUGGGCUGAUACGCCUGCCGUGCAAACCUCGAUGCCUGGUUUCUAUGAGAAGAUGAAAACGAGGCUACGUACAGUGGAGGAAGGUGCCGACACCAUCGUCUGGCUGGCCGCGUCACCAGCUGGCAAGACACACAAGAGUGGGCUGUUCUUUCAAGACCGACACCCUACCUCCACACAUUUGCCGCUGAGUUUCACUAAAUCCCGACCAGAACAAGACCAACAGUUGAUGGACAAGUUAGACGAAAUGGCUGCCAGGUUUCGACAAUGAAUAUUCAUAAUAUAAUUGUUUCAUGACAGCCGUAGUCGUACUUUAUUUAUAAUUUAUGUCAUGUGAGACAAUAAUUAAGUUUGUAUAAUUUACCUCAAACCAAUAUAUGUUUAUGCUCAUGUAUGUGUCAGUUCAGAAGUGUAACUGAAAUAUAGUUUGACGUGAUAGGUUUGAGAUCUCGGGCUAAGUGAAGUUCAUUAUUGUUCCUUUAAAUAGUUGAUGUGAUUGGUUUACGAUCUUUGGCUAAGUGAAGUAAGUUCAAGUACCUGUAAAUAGUUUAAUGUGAUUGGUUUAUGAUAUUUGGCGACGUUAAGUUAAUAAGUGUUCUUUCAAAUUAUUUUCGUGAUUCGUGAACAAUCUUUGACUAAGUGAAGUUCAUUACUCUUUCGUUAAAUAGUUUGAUGUGAUAGGUUUAUGAUCCUGGGUUAAGUAAAGUUCAUUACUGUUCCUUUAAAAAGUUUACGUGGUUGGUUUGCGGUCUUGCGCUAAGUGAAGUUCAUAGUCGACGUAAAGGUUUCACAAUCUAGGGCUUUGUGAGGUGCGUUUAGUUUUCCGUUUAAAUAUCGUUGUGAAAAAGCGAUCCUAGUAUUGCUAGUUAUUAGUGUGUUAUAUGCGAUCUGGUGCAAUAUAUUAACAUAAAUAAUCUACCGUAUAUUUUACGGCGUCUAUAGUAGACAAACAUAUGUAUUUAGAACUGUUUAAAUUAAUAUUGACCAACAUUUACAUGUUAUAAUAAAAUACAAGUUUCAGCUUAUGUGUUUUAAGAAAUAUAUAGUUGAACUUAUGUAUAGUUAUACAAAAAUAUGUUGGAACUAAUGCUUUGUAAUAAAAUAUAAAUGUGAA